UACGGGGGGUGCAAGCGUUAUCCGGAUUUACUGGGUUUAAAGGGUGCGUAGGCGGCUUAUUAAGUCAGUGGUGAAAGCUCGCAGCUCAACUGUGAAACUGCCAUUGAAACUGAUAAGCUUGAAUCUGGUUGAAGUGGGCGGAAUACAACAUGUAGCGGUGAAAUGCUUAGAUAUGUUGUAGAACACCGAUUGCGAAGGCAGCUCACUAAGCCAACAUUGACGCUGAGGCACGAAAGCGUGGGUAG
This 245-nucleotide ribosomal RNA is filed under the name uncultured Solitalea sp. RNAcentral describes it as "partial 16S ribosomal RNA". It matches the Rfam family "Bacterial small subunit ribosomal RNA", at positions 524 to 768 of the family's 1533-position model. The record is from RNAcentral. Lineage: Bacteria; Pseudomonadati; Bacteroidota; Sphingobacteriia; Sphingobacteriales; Sphingobacteriaceae.